This 253-nucleotide ribosomal RNA is filed under the name uncultured bacterium. RNAcentral describes it as "partial 16S ribosomal RNA". It matches the Rfam family "Bacterial small subunit ribosomal RNA", at positions 524 to 776 of the family's 1533-position model. The record is from RNAcentral.
UACGGAGGGGACUAGCGUUGUUCGGAAUUACUGGGCGUAAAGCGCACGUAGGCGGAUUUGUAAGUCAGGGGUGAAAUCCCGGGGCUCAACCCCGGAACUGCCUUUGAUACUGCAAAUCUAGAGUCCGGAAGAGGUGAGUGGAAUUCCUAGUGUAGAGGUGAAAUUCGUAGAUAUUAGGAAGAACACCAGUGGCGAAGGCGGCUCACUGGUCCGGUACUGACGCUGAGGUGCGAAAGCGUGGGGAGCAAACAGG